RNAcentral lists this ribosomal RNA (355 nucleotides) under Sepsis cynipsea. Its description in RNAcentral is "partial 12S ribosomal RNA". The record is from RNAcentral. Lineage: Eukaryota; Metazoa; Arthropoda; Insecta; Diptera; Sepsidae.
UUAAAAUGUAAUUUAUUUACUAAAGUAGUAGUAGUUAUGUUCUUGAAACUUAAAAAAUUUGGCGGUAUUUUAGUCUAUUCAGAGGAACCUGUCCUGUAAUCGAUAAUCCACGUUGGACCUAACUUAAAUUUGUUUAUCAGUUUGUAUACCGUCGUUAUAAGAAUAUUUUAUUAGAACAAUAAUUUUCUAGAAUUUUUAUAAAAAUUUAUAUCAGAUCAAGGUGCAGCUUAUGUUUAAGUAGAGAUGGGUUACAAUAAAUAUAUUUAUACGAAUUAAUUUUUGAAAUAAAAUUAUAAAGGUGGAUUUGAAUGUAAAAUUAUAAAGAUUAAUAAUUUGAUUUUAGCUCUAAAAUAUG